AGUCUGACGGAGCACGCCGCGUGAACGAUGAAGGCCUUCGGGUCGUAAAGUUCUGUUGUCAGGGAAGAACAAGUACCGGAGUAACUGCCGGUACCUUGACGGUACCUGACCAGAAAGCCACGGCUAACUACGUGCCAGCAGCCGCGGUAAUACGUAGGUGGCAAGCGUUGUCCGGAAUUAUUGGGCGUAAAGCGCGCGCAGGCGGUUCCUUAAGUCUGAUGUGAAAGCCCCCGGCUCAACCGGGGAGGGUCAUUGGAAACUGGGGAACUUGAGUGCAGAAGAGGAGAGCGGAAUUCCACGUGUAGCGGUGAAAUGCGUAGAGAUGUGGAGGAACACCAGUGGCGAAGGCGGCUCUCUGGUCUGUAACUGACGCUGAGGCGCGAAAGCGUGGGGAGCGAACAGGAUUAGAUACCCUGGUAGUCCACGCCGUAAACGAUGAGUGCUAAGUGUUAGAGGGUUUCCGCCCUUUAGUGCUGCAGCAAACGCAUAAGCACUCCGCCUGG
RNAcentral lists this ribosomal RNA (503 nucleotides) under uncultured Bacillus sp. Its description in RNAcentral is "bacterial SSU rRNA". It matches the Rfam family "Bacterial small subunit ribosomal RNA", at positions 380 to 876 of the family's 1533-position model. Lineage: Bacteria; Bacillati; Bacillota; Bacilli; Caryophanales; Bacillaceae. The record is from RNAcentral.